Physcomitrium patens is the source of this 2824-nucleotide non-coding RNA. The record is from RefSeq and is a predicted model, not a curated record. Lineage: Eukaryota; Viridiplantae; Streptophyta; Bryopsida; Funariales; Funariaceae.
UUCAUCGUCCUCCUCGUCUACGACACACCCGAGCCCAGAGCUCCUCGUGUUUGUCGUCGUCAAGCCGUCGUCCAGCGCACUUCUGUUAAUUUUGCAUCGAUUUUCGCUCCCCUUGGUGCUGCAUGUUUCGACAUUUCACGUUUGGCCACAACUCCUUCAUUGAUGUCAUCUCGUUCGAGGGCAGAGUGUGAUGCAGAGGACACCGAAGCAGUGGUUACUUAGUGCUUGAAUUGAGUCGCUGUGGAUCUCUGUUGAGUUUGCGCCGUGGAUGGGAGGGGGACGAUAACCUGUUCUUGGUUUUCAGCCAGGGUUUGGUCCUUAAGGGAUGGAUUUAUUUCUGAAUUGCUGUGACGGAGGGAGGUUUUCAGUUUCAGUUGAAGCUGUGGUUGAAUGGCAAAGAAGACAAUUGCUCGUGGUCGAGGUUGUGUGCACGAGGGGCUUCAUUUCUUGUAGUGACCAAUUCUCGUUGCGCUUGUGCUUGGUGGGAUUGAUACGUAAAUAUCGUAGCUUGAGCAAAGUGGAACUCAGCUACGAGUGUGUGAACGUCGAUUGUUUCUUCAGGGUUUGGGCUCCACGAUGCAUUUUCUAGAAGUUAGGACCAGAGUAUUGGCUUGCUGUUCUUGGUACAUUUUAGAGUUUUCGGUGGAGGGAUGGCGUCAUGCCAGGUUGGGAAUUGUUGCUGGGAGGUCUUUCCAAAGGAAAUCUCAAGUGUUGAAUGGUUAAUUGCCAUUUUAUAGAUAUUGUUUCUUAUUAUUUGGAGGGGAACUGCAAUUCUGUGUAGCCGUUUGAAAGGAAAGCAGUAACUCAGAAGGGCGUUCGCGCAAGAAAUCGAUCUCGGCGUAGUUGCAUUUUCAGCUCUAGUUUGAAGGGCAAUAUGAAGAGAUUUUUCAAAUCCGUUCGUCGAGAAGGUUCCUUCAAAAGGUUGGCAGCCUCUUGUGGAGAGAAUGGAACUCCUAUCUGCUUUAGAGAAGAUUCUGAGAAAAGGGAACCAUCCAAGUUCAUGUCAUGGAAUGCAAAUAGCUUUUUUCUUCGCUCAAAAAGUAACCGAGAAAAAGUUUUCAGCCCCCUUCGCCGCCUCGAUCCAGAUGUCAUUGCUAUUCAGAAAAAGGAAGUUCGUGUUUCUUCAGCAGGUCGGAAAGAGGGAUCUUAAUCAUUGCGAGCUCAAAGAUGAUACUAACUCUGCAUGCGAAGAUAAGCAGAUCACGAUGUAUGCCCUGUCAGUGUCACCACUUUCAGACUCUGGAGUUUGGUGGUCUCUGGGUGACAGUAAUUAUGGCGGAACUGCCCUUCUUGUGAAGCAAAAUUGCUCGCCAAUCUCGAUAUCAUGCUCUUUGGACCAGUCAGAAACCCAGGUCUUCACAUGAUCAUCCAUCUUUGAAGUCAAGGCCCCAGGUCAUGAAGUCAUUUGUGUGGAUCCCACCUCUAGAUGGAAGCAUAUUAAAGCAUGAAGCAGACGGAAGUGUUGUUUUGGCAGAAUUUCCCUCGUUUCGGCUGCUCUACAGACUUGUUCCAAACAAUGGCUGAAAAGAUGAGCAGAAUGGAUUUUCCAGACGGCGCGCUUGGGAUGCACGAAUUCUCGAGUUUGUGAAACUUCCACAUAAGAAACCCCUCAUUUGGUGCGGGGACCUCAAUGUUGGGUGGGUCUUUAUGUUUCAGUCUUCAAAUCUCUUUCGGAUUGAAUUUUGCAAUUUAUCGGAGUGUUGUGUUAAGCUAAAGCUCAUUACACACUUAUGUUCAAAUCAGUGGUUGAAAGAUUUUAUACCCGGAAGUCACAACUCAACUUCAGAUCGAAUUUGAAAUGCAUUUCAUCUGGAUUUGUCUCUACCUGUGAGUCCUUGUUUCAUCUAAACUGCUUACAAUCUUUUUAACCUUUGUGCAACAAUGAAUAUAUUGAUGUGAGUCAUCCAGGACUUUUUGCUAACGCCAAACUCCAGGGUUAUUCACCCUCAAACACUGAGGAUAUUGGGCAGCCAGGGUUCACACUUGCAGAGCGCCAACGUUUUGCUGAUAGUAUUUCAGAGUGUGUGUCCUUUGAAUCCUCUACGUUUGUCUUCAAUCGAUUGGAGUGUGCUCACAACCACAUAGAUGAAACGCUUAGGCGUCAAAUUUUCAAUUUUUCUAUUGCGUUCUAGACGUAUUCGUAAGUUCAGUUGGUUGGCUCAUUGGUACAUGUUGACAAAGAGAUCUGGUUCAACUGCUUCGUUUUUGAAUCAUCCCUUAUGUUCUAACUUCUUUCCGUAUUCGCUCUCAUAUCCAAGUGUGUGCGCUUAGCAUAUGAAUAGUGAUUGAUUACAAUACGGAAAAGACAGCAUAUCUUUCUCAUUCAAUUCUAUUUUUAUGGAUUCUGCAGAGGAGAUUUGGUAGAUACGUAUAGGUAUUUGCACAAACAGCAGGAUUUUGGUACUGGCUUCACCUAGUCAGCAAAUCCUGUUAGAAAGUAAGUCCAAAAGCUCGACGUCUUUUGGAGUUUUUUUUGUUUAUUUCCAUGAAUGCGUCGGUGUACAUGCUUCAAGCUGAAGUAUUGUAUUCAUCACCAGUUGUCCUAAAGCAUUUUCUGGUGGAUUAAUGCUUUUGAGGACUAUUGUUGAUCUGUAUCAAUUUUUUUUUGGACCCGGGACAACGUCAAAUUGCCAGAAAUUUGCUCACAUUCAAUGUAUAUUUUCCAUCUUGACAUGUACCGAGGGAAGCGCAUGAGGAUUGAUUAUUUUUUGUUGUCCAGAAAAAUGCUUGACGGGCUUGUAAGCAGGUGUCUGUGGUAGUGAUCAUUGCCCUAUUACUAUGGAAUUUCGAACUGCUUCCAAGGAAGUUGCAAUGAUUGAGUGUA